CCUACGGGAGGCAGCAGUAAGGAAUAUUGGUCAAUGGACGCAAGUCUGAACCAGCCAUGCCGCGUGAAGGAUUAAGGUCCUCUGGAUUGUAAACUUCUUUUAUCUGGGACGAAAAAAGGCGAUUCUUCGUCACUUGACGGUACCAGAUGAAUAAGCACCGGCUAACUCCGUGCCAGCAGCCGCGGUAAUACGGAGGGUGCAAGCGUUAUCCGGAUUCACUGGGUUUAAAGGGUGCGUAGGCGGGCAGGUAAGUCAGUGGUGAAAUCCUAGAGCUUAACUCUAGAACUGCCAUUGAUACUAUCUGUCUUGAAUAUUGUGGAGGUAAGCGGAAUAUGUCAUGUAGCGGUGAAAUGCUUAGAUAUGACAUAGAACACCUAUUGCGAAGGCAGCUUACUACGCAUAUAUUGACGCUGAGGCACGAAAGCGUGGGGAUCAAACAGGAUUAGAUACCCUGGUAGUCCACGCCCUAAACGAUGAUUACUCGACAUUUGUGAUACACUAUAAGUGUCUGAGACGAAGANAUAAGUAAUACCACCGAGGAAGUACGACCGACGAGUUAGAACGUACAAGUAGAGUUAGACGGACGUUGAGACGUUGCCGACGGACGACGACGAGGGAGGUAGGG
This 625-nucleotide ribosomal RNA is filed under the name uncultured bacterium. RNAcentral describes it as "bacterial SSU rRNA". The stretch from base 1 to 536 matches the Rfam family "Bacterial small subunit ribosomal RNA", at positions 338 to 873 of the family's 1533-position model. The record is from RNAcentral.